RNAcentral lists this transfer RNA (73 nucleotides) under Camelus ferus (Wild Bactrian camel). It matches the Rfam family "tRNA". Rfam says of the family: Transfer RNA (tRNA) molecules are approximately 80 nucleotides in length. Lineage: Eukaryota; Metazoa; Chordata; Mammalia; Artiodactyla; Camelidae. The record is from Rfam by way of RNAcentral.
GAGGGUGUAGCUCAAGUGGUAGAGCACAUGCUUAGCAUGCAUGAGGUCCUGGGUUCAAGCCCCUGUACCUCCU